Molecule: ribosomal RNA, 465 nt
Filed under: Vreelandella stevensii
Lineage: Bacteria; Pseudomonadati; Pseudomonadota; Gammaproteobacteria; Oceanospirillales; Halomonadaceae
Description: partial 16S ribosomal RNA
Rfam family: Bacterial small subunit ribosomal RNA
Source: RNAcentral
CCUACGGGCUGCUGCAGUGGGGAAUAUUGGACAAUGGGCGAAAGCCUGAUCCAGCCAUGCCGCGUGUGUGAAGAAGGCCUUCGGGUUGUAAAGCACUUUCAGCGGGGAAGAAAGCCUUGGGGCUAAUACCCUCGAGGAAGGACAUCACCCACAGAAGAAGCACCGGCUAACUCCGUGCCAGCAGCCGCGGUAAUACGGAGGGUGCGAGCGUUAAUCGGAAUUACUGGGCGUAAAGCGCGCGUAGGCGGUCUGAUAAGCCGGUUGUGAAAGCCCCGGGCUCAACCUGGGAACGGCAUCCGGAACUGUCAGGCUAGAGUGCAGGAGAGGAAGGUAGAAUUCCCGGUGUAGCGGUGAAAUGCGUAGAGAUCUGGAGGAAUACCAGUGGCGAAGGCGGCCUUCUGGACUGACACUGACGCUGAGGUGCGAAAGCGUGGGUAGCAAACAGGAUUAGAUACCCUAGUAGUC